Non-coding RNA from Ciona intestinalis (vase tunicate), 995 nucleotides. Lineage: Eukaryota; Metazoa; Chordata; Ascidiacea; Phlebobranchia; Cionidae. The record is from RefSeq and is a predicted model, not a curated record.
AGUUGGAACAAUUGACGGUAAGUGUCUUGCCCAAAAAGACACAUACGUCCAGAAUAAUAGCAGCGACGAGUCUUGACCUCGUUAUCUUGGGGGGCUGGGCAGUUGUGGUAACGGCGUUGUAUGAAAGGGUAAAACCCGGUCAGUGCUGUUCCGAGAUCUAGAGCAACCGUUCGCGCGUAUUUUAGAGACGUUCGCGCUGUUCGAGCUGUUCGCGCGUAUUUUAGAGACACCACUUUUACGGUUCUAGUGAAAAAUCCUCCCCCCACCUUGUUCGCCAACCAUUAACCCCUAUAACCACUAACCAUCAACCACUAACACUUUCCACCAACCUAUUUUGCUUUGUACCGGAGGAUUCUUCCCUAGUGCGGAUGACUUAUACAAUUUCUUUUAUUGUUACUAGGAUAUAUUAGGUGACCAAUGUGUGUAUUUGGUUUUUACAAAACGUUAAAGAAGUUUAAUAAUUAUUGACAACUAUGGUGACCAUGAUUAUGGGUAAUAUCCACUGAUACACACUUGUAACAAACCCUGGAUUGGCAAACAAAAGGAGACAUCACGUUCGUUGCAAAUUCGGCAGAUGAACAACUGGUUGUAAAGCAUCAGCGAAUAUAGUGGAUAUCAUGGAAAGGUUGGUGAAUGCGUUCAGGAGAUGGAAAGUCUUGGAAUGGAGGGUGAAUGUUUUCAGAUGGGUGUGGGGUUGGUUUAGAGGAAAUAACAAUGCACUCAUGGACACUGGCGUCGAUUUAUAUGGUGCAGGGUAUGCAGGCCUACCCUGACAAUUUUGCAGGGGUUGCAGCAACCCCUGGAUUUUCAAAUUAUUAAAGGAAAUUAUUCUUAAACUCUUUUUAAAUAAAUAUAUUUAACUUUAUCAAACAAUUACUUUAUAGUAGUUACGCAACACCUUCAUUCUCCGCAUAAACUAGCCGUUUUUGUACCCUGCGCGGUUACCUAUAACGGCUGCGUGUUACGUCAGACAAGUGUUUACGUCACAUUAAUAA